GAUUUCGACAGAGCUGGGCUCAGAAGCCAGUUGUUGGCGCUGUCCGUGGUGCUGAGGAAUUCCCGGCUGCCGGCAGAAUGAGCUCCAAAUCAGCAAUCUGCAAACUGCUCUUACUGAUGCAGAAACCCAGCUAAAGUUGCUCCUUUCCUUCACAUCCACAGUUAGUAUUUUCCGGUGUGUAAGAGGGGAUUCAAGCAACAUACUGUGGACGAUGGUGAUGGUAUUGCCAGCGGAGUGGGCUUUAAGCUACAGCAUGCUGUUGCUGUUUGUGAUCCUCAGAGCCUAGCCAAAUCACCUCUACUGCCGUAGCAAACACUGUGUAAGUGAACUCAUGUGUGGAGGAGGCGUAAUCAGCCGGGAAAUUUCAUAGAAGGAUCUAAGAAAAUGCUAAAAAUAAGUUCAACAUGAUUCUGCUACUGGGGUCUGGAUUUCUACAGGACCAGCAUUGCUUCUUGCUUUGAAUUCUGAAGACAGGUCCAAAGCAAAUUUCUUAUAUGUGUCUGCUGUGUUUCUUUCUGGAAGGGCGGGAGACUGCUUCUUUACUGUGUUUUGAAAUGGGAGGUAGAGAGAAUGGAUUGCCUUUAAUUCAUGCCUAAAAAAUGUAUUCUUUGGGUAAUUAAAGAGGAACUGCUUUCUUAAAACAUACCUGACCUUUUAGUUCAUUUUGGGCUGUGACCCCUACCACCACCAUUAACCUCCAGAGUGAUUAGCCUACCCCUCUUGUAUUCCCAUGGAAGGAGCUGAGUAUAUUUAAUAUUAGGAGCACAUCCAGAAGUCUUUGAAGAGGGGGAUGGCUCUUCAUAUUCAUGAAGCUUGCAUACUUCUGUUGGUCAUCCCUGGAUUGGUCACCUCUGCUGCUAUCAGUCAUGAAGACUAUCCUGCUGAUGAAGGUGACCAGAUCUCCAGUAAUGACAAUCUGAUCUUUGAUGACUAUCGAGGGAAAGGGUGUGUCGAUGACAGCGGCUUUGUAUACAAGUUGGGAGAACGAUUUUUCCCUGGGCAUUCCAACUGUCCGUGUGUCUGUGCUCUAGAUGGACCUGUUUGCGACCAACCAGAAUGCCCUAAAAUUCACCCAAAGUGUACUAAAGUGGAACACAAUGGAUGCUGUCCUGAGUGCAAAGAAGUAAAAAACUUCUGUGAAUAUCACGGGAAAAAUUACAAAAUCUUGGAGGAAUUUAAGGUAUGCGUUUCCCUCCAUAUUUAUUGAAAUAUCAACUUUUCAUACCACGUGCUUAGUACAUUGCUACAUUAAAGUCAGAGUUGGAAAAAUGUACUUUAAAAUUUCCCUUUAAAUUAUACAAUUUGAUUCUAAUUACCAUAAGUAGCACCAUGGUCAACAAAUGGCCAAUUGGUUUGUUGAUCAUAUUUGUUAAGUUGCACAAUAACCUUUAUUUUUUUUCCCAGAAGUAUUUGGGGCAUACCUAACACCUUUUAUUUUUGCCCUUAAACAUUUCUUCUCUGUUAUUACAAAAUAUGUUUUCUGAUGGGAACAAUUUUGUGUAUAGUGUAUGUGUCUCCUAAAUUAAUUUUUUAAUUGUGUCAGUUUUGUGUGUUGCUUAUUAGCCUGUAUUUGAAGUCAUUUAACAAUAUAGUCUAGAAUUAUUUGUUUAUUGUGUGGAAAAGCUACAGAGAUACACUUCUUAGCUGUGGUCCUCAUAUUAAGAAAAUGCAUUGGGCCUACUUGUUGUCAAGCAAGAUCCCCAUUCUGUUCUCUGCUCGCUGGAUUUUUUGCUUUCAGGAUUCCACAGAGAACUGAAUUUUUAUCACAAUCCAUGUAAAGAGUAGUAAAAAAGACUGUAA
This 1800-nucleotide small RNA is filed under the name Pan troglodytes (chimpanzee). RNAcentral's name for it is "retained intron". The record is from RNAcentral. Lineage: Eukaryota; Metazoa; Chordata; Mammalia; Primates; Hominidae.